NNGCCCCCUCCGGAAGCCCUCGGAGCGCCAGGCAGCUGUGCAGGGGGACGCUUCAGUCCCCCGCCUUCAUUCAGACGACGGCGACGGAGUGCCAGAUACUGCACUAGCCCCCUGGACACAACUCUGAACGACUGGACAAGUAUCGUUCUUUCACUCCAAAAGAGGAGAAAGACAUUAAACAAUCCAUCAUCCAAACAGAUAAUCAUGUGAGUAGAACAUGGGCUGGGAAAGA
RNAcentral lists this long non-coding RNA (232 nucleotides) under Mustela putorius furo (domestic ferret). Its description in RNAcentral is "lncRNA (ENSMPUG00000030295.1)". Lineage: Eukaryota; Metazoa; Chordata; Mammalia; Carnivora; Mustelidae. The record is from RNAcentral.